Molecule: ribosomal RNA, 253 nt
Filed under: uncultured bacterium
Lineage: Bacteria
Description: partial 16S ribosomal RNA
Rfam family: Bacterial small subunit ribosomal RNA
Source: RNAcentral
UACGAAGGGGGCUAGCGUUGCUCGGAAUGACUGGGCGUAAAGGGCGCGUAGGCGGAUAGUACAGUCAGAUGUGAAAUUCCUGGGCUCAACCUGGGGGCUGCAUUUGAUACGUGCUGUCUUGAGUUCGGAAGAGGGUCGUGGAAUUCCCAGUGUAGAGGUGAAAUUCGUAGAUAUCGGGAGGAACACCAGUGGCGAAGGCGGCGAUCUGGGAAGAUACUGACGCUGAGGUGCGAAAGCGUGGGGAGCAAACAGG